This 305-nucleotide ribosomal RNA is filed under the name uncultured bacterium. RNAcentral's name for it is "partial 16S ribosomal RNA". It matches the Rfam family "Bacterial small subunit ribosomal RNA", at positions 508 to 807 of the family's 1533-position model. The record is from RNAcentral.
ACAGCAGUAGCCGCGGGAAUACGAAGGGGGCUAGCGUUGUUCGGAUUUACUGGGCGUAAAGCGCACGUAGGCGGAUCGUUAAGUCGGGGGUGAAAUCCUGGAGCUCAACUCCAGAACUGCCUUCGAUACUGGCGAUCUCGAGUCCGGAAGAGGUGAGUGGAACUCCUAGUGUAGAGGUGGAAUUCGUAGAUAUUAGGAAGAACACCAGUGGCGAAGGCGGCUCACUGGUCCGGUACUGACGCUGAGGUGCGAAAGCGUGGGGAGCAAACAGGAUUAGAUACCCCAGUAGUCCCUGUCUCUUAUAC